RNAcentral lists this small RNA (244 nucleotides) under Mus pahari (shrew mouse). RNAcentral describes it as "sRNA (MGP_PahariEiJ_G0007991.1)". The record is from RNAcentral. Lineage: Eukaryota; Metazoa; Chordata; Mammalia; Rodentia; Muridae.
GAUAUGUUUCCACUGGGGUUCAUUUGGAUGAUCCUGCUAGCUAGCUUGAUUGUUCAUGUGGAUCCAUGUGCAUCAAUCCAUCCUUCCUGAAGCUGAGCCCUAGGUAAAAGAGGAUGAUCUUGCCAGUUAGAAGAGGGUCAUUCUUUGGUCCAGACUAAAUGAGUAGCUGUGUUCUUCUGUCAGAGCCUCCAAAUUAGCAGACCCUGAUUACAAAGGUCAAGAUCUACCUCCUAGCAAUGGACUA